RNAcentral lists this non-coding RNA (28 nucleotides) under Bombyx mori (domestic silkworm). Lineage: Eukaryota; Metazoa; Arthropoda; Insecta; Lepidoptera; Bombycidae. The record is from RNAcentral.
UGCAUUGCAUCAACAAUUUUCCCACUGC